Molecule: ribosomal RNA, 253 nt
Filed under: uncultured bacterium
Lineage: Bacteria
Description: partial 16S ribosomal RNA
Rfam family: Bacterial small subunit ribosomal RNA
Source: RNAcentral
UACAGAGGUCCCGAGCGUUGUUCGGAUUCACUGGGCGUAAAGGGCGCGUAGGUGGUUAGGUAAGUCGGAUGUGAAAUCUCCGGGCUCAACCCGGAAAUGGCAUUGGAAACUACCUUACUGGAGGAUUUGAGGGGGGAUUGGAAUACUUGGUGUAGCAGUGAAAUGCGUAGAUAUCAAGUGGAACACCAGUGGCGAAGGCGAAUCCCUGGAAAAUACCUGACACUGAGGCACGAAAGCUAGGGGAGCAAACAGG